This 124-nucleotide small RNA is filed under the name Castor canadensis (American beaver). RNAcentral describes it as "7SK RNA (ENSCCNG00000018047.1)". It matches the Rfam family "7SK RNA", at positions 135 to 261 of the family's 331-position model. From Rfam's summary of the family: 7SK was discovered as an abundant small nuclear RNA in the mid-70s but a possible function has only recently been suggested. Lineage: Eukaryota; Metazoa; Chordata; Mammalia; Rodentia; Castoridae. The record is from RNAcentral.
CUUGGUCGAAGAGGAUGACCAUCCCUGAUAGAGGAGGGCCGUUCUUCCAUCAAGGGUAUACGAGUAGCUGCACUCCCCUGCUAGAACCUCCAAACGAAAUACUGGCCCAAGGAAGAAGAAAACC